AACGAACGCUGGCGGCAGGCUUAACACAUGCAAGUCGAACGCUCGUAGCAAUACGGGAGUGGCGGACGGGUGAGUAACGCGUGGGAACGUGCCCUGAGGUACGGAAUAACUGAGGGAAACUUCAGCUAAUACCGUAUGAGCCCCGAGAGGGGGAAAGAUUUAUCGCCUUGGGAGCGGCCCGCGUCGGAUUAGCUAGUUGGUGGGGUAACGGCCUACCAAGGCUUCGAUCCGUAGCUGGUCUGAGAGGACGAUCAGCCACACUGGGACUGAGACACGGCCCAGACUCCUACGGGAGGCAGCAGUGGGGAAUCUUGCGCAAUGGGGGCAACCCUGACGCAGCCAUGCCGCGUGAACGAUGAAGGCCUUAGGGUUGUAAAGUUCUUUUACCCGUGACGAUGAUGACGGUAACGGGGAAUAAGCUCCGGCUAACUUCGUGCCAGCAGCCGCGGUAAU
RNAcentral lists this ribosomal RNA (453 nucleotides) under uncultured bacterium. RNAcentral describes it as "bacterial SSU rRNA". It matches the Rfam family "Bacterial small subunit ribosomal RNA", at positions 29 to 524 of the family's 1533-position model. The record is from RNAcentral.